GAUGAACGCUGGCGGCGUGCCUAAUACAUGCAAGUCGAGCGAACGGACGAGAAGCUUGCUUCUCUGAUGUUAGCGGCGGACGGGUGAGUAACACGUGGAUAACCUACCUAUAAGACUGGGAUAACUUCGGGAAACCGGAGCUAAUACCGGAUAAUAUUUUGAACCUCAUGGUUCAAAAGUAAAAGACGGUCUUGCUGUCACUUAUAGAUGGAUCCGCGCUGCAUUAGCUAGUUGGUAAGGUAACGGCUUACCAAGGCAACGAUGCAUAGCCGACCUGAGAGGGUGAUCGGCCACACUGGAACUGAGACACGGUCCAGACUCCUACGGGAGGCAGCAGUAGGGAAUCUUCCGCAAUGGGCGAAAGCCUGACGGAGCAACGCCGCGUGAGUGAUGAAGGUCUUCGGAUCGUAAAACUCUGUUAUUAGGGAAGAACAUAUGUGUAAGUAACUGUGCACAUCUUGACGGUACCUAAUCAGAAAGCCACGGCUAACUACGUG
This 497-nucleotide ribosomal RNA is filed under the name uncultured bacterium. RNAcentral describes it as "partial 16S ribosomal RNA". It matches the Rfam family "Bacterial small subunit ribosomal RNA", at positions 28 to 507 of the family's 1533-position model. The record is from RNAcentral.